Molecule: long non-coding RNA, 1220 nt
Organism: Suricata suricatta (meerkat)
Lineage: Eukaryota; Metazoa; Chordata; Mammalia; Carnivora; Herpestidae
Exons: 2
Source: RefSeq, a predicted model, not a curated record
ACUCUCUCUCUCAAAAGUAAAUAAAUAAACAUUUAAAAAGAAAGAAUCGAAUAGGGUAACACUAGCACCAACCCACCCCUGCCCCAGGGCCUUGGCACAUUCUGGCUCCUUAUCUGUCGCUUGCUUCCCUCCCUGACCACCUAGGAGAAGUAGACUGCUUCGUGCCUCUGCUGGCCAGGGCGAGGGCCUGGGCCGGAGCCUGGGAGGAGGUGGGGCACUGGAGUGGCGAGGGCCAGCGGGGCACCCGGUUACGAUCCCCACUCAGGAGUCAGACCAACCUGGGUCUGAGCCCUGGCCCCUCCACUGGACAGCUCUGUGGCCUUGGGCAAGUUACUAAACCUCUCAGAGCCUUCAUUCUCUCAUUUGCUUAAUGGUAAUAAUAACAGUUCCAUAAUAACAGUAUCUUCCCCACUGGGACACGUGGGACACAGCUAUUAUUGUUAGUAUCAUCAGCUGGUGGGGGAAAGGGGGUGCUGUGCAGGGAGACUGUGUCUCCCCAGUGGCCCGAGGUUGUUGGAAGCUUCCAGUGAAGGUGACGGGCAGCCUUGAGUGGCGGGAGUGAGGACGGGGCGUCCAGCACCCACAUCCCCUCUGCCUGCAUCUCUCAGGCUGAGGUGCGAUUCUCUGGGGGGACCCCCCACGCUCCCAGCUAUGCUGGUGGUGGAGCUGGGUGAGGCCUCUUUUUCCAGCCAGAUGCCCUUUAGGCCUGGGGCAGGGCCACCCCCUCCUCCCCUCUGCCAGCAGGGCCCCGGCCAAGAUGCCUUUAUUUUUAAACCAGCGAACAAUGCCUGGCCCUGCACAGCCUCCUACAGAGGACAGAGAGAGCAAGGAUGGGCUGGGAGCCGCACUUCCUGGGCCGACACUCCUCAUCCCGGACAGGUCUGAAUUUGCAAAGCAAUGCUCUGUGGCUUUCAAGCUAGGUCAGAAAACGCAACGUAGCUUCUGCUUGGUUCUCUUGGGACACUCACCUCUGGAGCUCUGGGCCGCCAUGCUGUGAGGAAGCGCAAUGAGCCCCCACAGACCAAAUGGAGAGCUCCUGGCGGUCCGGAGGGGGACCCAGCCAGCUCACAACCCCCCCCCACCCCUGCUCUUCCAGUUCCAGCCACCAUCAGCAACUGCACGGGAGAUCCUAUGCCAGACCACUGAGUCAGACCCAUCCCAAGUCCCCGGGCUGCAGAUACUAUGACAAACAAUAAAAUGAUUCUGAUUGUCUUAAGCUA